RNAcentral lists this ribosomal RNA (253 nucleotides) under uncultured bacterium. Its description in RNAcentral is "partial 16S ribosomal RNA". It matches the Rfam family "Bacterial small subunit ribosomal RNA", at positions 524 to 776 of the family's 1533-position model. The record is from RNAcentral.
UACGAAGGGGGCUAGCGUUGUUCGGAUUUACUGGGCGUAAAGCGCACGUAGGCGGAUCUUUAAGUCAGAGGUGAAAUCCCAAGGCUCAACCUUGGAACUGCCUUUGAUACUGGGGAUCUUGAGUCCGGGAGAGGUGAGUGGAACUGCGAGUGUAGAGGUGAAAUUCGUAGAUAUUCGCAAGAACACCAGUGGCGAAGGCGGCUCACUGGCCCGAUACUGACGCUCAUGUUCGAAAGCGUGGGGAGCAAACAGG